CAUUUGUUCUCUAAAUAAGGACUUGUAUGAAUGGCCACACGAGGGUUUUACUGUCUCUUACUUCCAAUCAGUGAAAUUGACCUUCCCGUGAAGAGGCGGGAAUAAAUAAAUAAGACGAGAAGACCCUAUGGAGCUUUAACUAACUAGUCCAAAGAGAAUAAACCAAACCACCAAGGAAUAAAAAUACUCCUGAUGGACUAGCAGUUUUGGUUGGGGUGACCUCGGAGAACAAAAAAYCCUCCGAACGAUUCUAAAAACCAGACUCACCAGUCAAAUUAUUCUAUCGCUUAUUGACCCAAAAAUUUGAUCAACGGAACAAGUUACCCUAGGGAUAACAGCGCA
RNAcentral lists this ribosomal RNA (342 nucleotides) under Aepyceros melampus (impala). Its description in RNAcentral is "partial 16S ribosomal RNA". It matches the Rfam family "Bacterial large subunit ribosomal RNA", at positions 1966 to 2484 of the family's 2925-position model. Lineage: Eukaryota; Metazoa; Chordata; Mammalia; Artiodactyla; Bovidae. The record is from RNAcentral.